This 1530-nucleotide ribosomal RNA is filed under the name uncultured bacterium. RNAcentral's name for it is "bacterial SSU rRNA". It matches the Rfam family "Bacterial small subunit ribosomal RNA". The record is from RNAcentral.
CAAGAUGAGUUUGAUCAUGGCUCAGGAUGAACGCUGGCGGCGUGCUUAACACAUGCAAGUCGAACGGAGCUUUGUUACGGAAUCUUCGGAAGAAGUGAUGAAGCUUAGUGGCGGACGGGUGAGUAACACGUGAGCAACCUACCUUUUGCAGGGGAAUAACUCUGGGAAACCAGAGCUAAUACCGCAUGCCGUACACUUGAGGCAUCUUAGGUGUAUGAAAGGAUUAAUCCGGCAGAAGAUGGGCUCGCGUCCGAUUAGGUAGUUGGUGGGGUAAAGGCCUACCAAGCCGACGAUCGGUAGCCGGACUGAGAGGUCGACCGGCCACAUUGGGACUGAGACACGGCCCAGACUCCUACGGGAGGCAGCAGUGGGGAAUAUUGGGCAAUGGGCGAAAGCCUGACCCAGCGACGCCGCGUGAAGGAGGAAGGCUUUCGAGUUGUAAACUUCUUUGGGGAGGGACGAAGAUGACGGUACCUCCAGAACAAGCCACGGCUAACUACGUGCCAGCAGCCGCGGUAAUACGUAGGUGGCGAGCGUUAUCCGGAUUUACUGGGUGUAAAGGGCGCGCAGGCGGCCCUGGAAGUCAGAUGUGAAAGAUCAAGGCUUAACUUUGACAGGUCAUCUGAAACUUUGGGGCUUGAGUAUCAGAGGGGAAAGUGGAAUUCCUAGUGGAGCGGUAAAAUGCACAGAUAUUAGGAGGAACACCGGUGGCGAAGGCGACUUUCUGGCUGACAACUGACGCUGAGGCGCGAGAGCGUGGGGAGCAAACAGGAUUAGAUACCCUGGUAGUCCACGCCGUAAACGAUGAUUACUGGGUGUAGGGAGUAUCGACUCUCUCUGUGCCGAAGCAAACGCGAUAAGUAAUCCACCUGGGGAGUACGGCCGCAAGGCUAAAACUCAAAGGAAUUGACGGGGGCCCGCACAAGCAGUGGAGUAUGUGGUUUAAUUCGAGGCAACGCGAAGAACCUUACCAGGGUUUGACAUCCUGCGCAAGGCUUAGAGAUAGGCUGUUCCCCUCGGGGACGCAGAGACAGGUGGUGCAUGGUUGUCGUCAGCUCGUGUCGUGAGAUGUUCGGUUAAGUCCGGCAACGAGCGCAACCCUUGUUGCCAGUUGCCAUCAUUUGGUUGGGCACUUUGGCGAGACUGCCGUUGACAAAACGGAGGAAGGUGGGGAUGACGUCAAAUCAUCAUGCCCCUUAUAUCCUGGGCUACACACGUACUACAAUGGGCGUUACAGAGGGCAGCCACACCGCGAGGUGGCGCGAAUCCCGAAAGGCGUCCUCAGUUCGGAUUGCAGGCUGCAACUCGCCUGCAUGAAGUCGGAAUUGCUAGUAAUGGCAGGUCAGCAUACUGCCGUGAAUACGUUCCCGGGCCUUGUACACACCGCCCGUCACACCAUGAGAGUCUGUAACACCCGAAGUCAGUAGUCUAACCUGAGUAGAUUAGGGGGACGCUGCCGAAGGUGGGAUAGAUAAUUGGGGUGAAGUCGUAACAAGGUAGCCACUUCUAGAAGACUCAUACAAUGCCGCC